GACGAACGCUGGCGGCGUGCCUAAUACAUGCAAGUUGAGCGAUGAAGAUUGGUGCUUGCCCCAAUUUGAAGAGCAGCGAACGGGUGAGUAACGCGUGGGGAAUCUGCCUUUGAGCGGGGGACAACAUUUGGAAACGAAUGCUAAUACCGCAUAACAACUUUAAACAUAAGUUUUAAGUUUGAAAGAUGCAAUUGCAUCACUCAAAGAUGAUCCCGCGUUGUAUUAGCUAGUUGGUGAGGUAAAGGCUCACCAAGGCGAUGAUACAUAGCCGACCUGAGAGGGGGAUAGCCCACAUGGGACUGGGACCCGGCCCAAACCUCCUCGGGGAGGAGCCAGAAGGGAACUUUAGGCAUGGGCGGAAAGUUGAACGGAGAACGCCGGGGUGAGGGAGAAGGUUUUCGGAUCGUAAAACUCUGUUGGUAGAGAAGAACGUUGGUGAGAGUGGAAAGCUCAUCAAGUGACGGUAACUACCCAGAAAGGGACGGCUAACUACGUG
Molecule: ribosomal RNA, 496 nt
Filed under: uncultured bacterium
Lineage: Bacteria
Description: partial 16S ribosomal RNA
Rfam family: Bacterial small subunit ribosomal RNA
Source: RNAcentral